This is a small nucleolar RNA of Tachyglossus aculeatus (Australian echidna), 138 nucleotides long. The record is from RefSeq and is a predicted model, not a curated record. Lineage: Eukaryota; Metazoa; Chordata; Mammalia; Monotremata; Tachyglossidae.
UCCCUCUCAGGGUCACAUCUGGAGAGUUUCCAGUCCUCUACCAGUCUCAGCUAUGGGAGAGAGAGUCAAGCAGAUGCCUAUCCAUUUCAUUCCUAGCUUGGGAAGUGGCUGGCGAGUGGAAGGCAAUCUGCUAUAAGU